Long non-coding RNA from Gambusia affinis (western mosquitofish), 441 nucleotides. RefSeq lists it as uncharacterized. Lineage: Eukaryota; Metazoa; Chordata; Actinopteri; Cyprinodontiformes; Poeciliidae. The transcript has 3 exons. The record is from RefSeq and is a predicted model, not a curated record.
GUCGCCCCCGCCAAGCCAACACCAGCACAGGCUUGAAUUAAUGUGUUGCUAUUUUUGGGAGCCCCGUGUUUCCAGGGGAGACCUAAUGACGCAAUGACGUCAAUGCGGGUCAAUCGCAGACUGGAGGAAUUGAGUGGCUUCCAUUUGGAGCUUUUGCAGUAUUUCCUACAGAAAGGACGGAAACCAGUGCAAAAAUUGAAGUGUAUUUCCUCCCGAAACAAAAAUUAACACGGAAUAGAAAAGAAAAGGAAAAAAGCCUUGAAAAUAGGAAUUUAAAGUGAAAAUGCUGAAGUGAAAAUGAUCCCGGUGCCAUCACGUCGCCCCAAUCCUUCGAGCAUCUGCGAUAGUAAAGGAGCCCCGACCUAUUCCAAGCUCUCGCAACCAGACGCACAGAGACGCUGGUCCAAUGAGUCGAUGAUGAUGGUGGUUAUGAUUCAUCAG